This 72-nucleotide transfer RNA is filed under the name Camelus bactrianus (Bactrian camel). It matches the Rfam family "tRNA". From Rfam's summary of the family: Transfer RNA (tRNA) molecules are approximately 80 nucleotides in length. Their secondary structure includes four short double-helical elements and three loops (D, anti-codon, and T loops). RNAcentral also lists the same sequence under 2 other names. Lineage: Eukaryota; Metazoa; Chordata; Mammalia; Artiodactyla; Camelidae. The record is from Rfam by way of RNAcentral.
GAGGGUAUAGGUUGGUGGUGGAGUGCAUGCUUAGCAUGCAUGAGGUCCUGGGUUCAAUCUCCAGUAUCUCCA